UUGGAAGGAAAAUAUUUCCUUUCAGCAGUUUUUCCUGGCUUAGCCAAGGAAAGAAGAAUGCCACUAAAAUCUGCAGUGCAGGGCAGAGGAGGGGAAGCCUGUCUCAAAUGAGGGUCACAUCCCAGAGUUGGGCAUUUGCAGGAACAAAUGCCAACUCAGAGGGAACUGACUCACCAGAAGGAACAAGUGCUAAACCAACCCAGCUCAUUACAGGGACAGGAACAAGUUCUCAAGCAGCUCAUCCAUUACUUCUUCCCUCUGGACAGGCCUACGGCAGAAUGUGCAAAAUGCCAGCAAACCAACCAGUGAAAUCCACAGGUAACAAAGCACAGCACCACUGAUGGGACUGGAAUGCCGGUGGACCUGGGAUACCUGAGCUGUGAUAGUCUAGAUUAGCGUAUGAUCAUAUCACCCCCAGUGGCUGGUCCCAGCAACUACAACAGGCUGCUAAAUGCGGACGGCUAAUAGCCUUAUUCCUCGCCUAGCCCUUAACUCUGAAAAAAUUCCUAUCAUGUUACCACCAGAUCAAAUUUGGGAGGGAGGAGGAAAGACUAGUGUAGACUCAGCUUCCAUAGUAGGGCCUGUGCUUUCGCUACUGAAGACCCCAGGUUCUUCCCUUCUGGUGACUUUGGUCACGGGUCACUGGCACUUUGGGGAAAGAGAUGCUGAAGUUCUUACAAUAAGUAAGUGCCAGAGUCACUUUUAGGAAGGCUUCAAGGGAAGCUGAUGGCUGCAGCAAACCUCUGGCCCAUGGGUGCUAUUGCUGGUGGUUGUUUCUCCUAAGAUGUGGUGGCUGAUACUGCUCCAUCUCCAGUAGCAAUGUUAGCAUCCCAGCACCUAAACACAUCAUAUUCAGUACCACAGCAUAAUCGCCCAGCCUCAUUUCAGGCUGGCACUGAGCCUGUUUAGCUGGAGCUCAUUUCACCAGAUGCCAGGCAUUGCUACCCAGGUAACUGACAUCAAAGAGCCAGAGGGCAAAAGCAUGGCACCCUAACUCAUCCUGGUGCGGCAGAAAAAUGUAAUGAGGGCUCCUGGAGCAUCGCCAGUAAAGUCCCCCUGCUAUCACUCAGAAGCAUAACAUGAUCAUAUAAGGCUACCAGGUUAAGGAGAGAAGAGAGACAAGGUCAUCACGGGACGUGCUCAGACACUAUGGAUACACAGUCCACAAUGUGAGGGUGACAACUCAUCACAUACCAGGUCUUCCACAUACAAAGCAAUUUUACUGAGGCUACCAAACCUGGCUCAGUGUUCCUGGGAACCAAUUCAACAGAUAGAGCAGUGAUACUCAGACUGUGGCUCGGGAGCUGCAAGUGGCUCUUUAAUGUGUCUCCUGCGGCUCUUUGCAGCACGUGAUGUUUAAACACUGUGUCGUUUAAUUAUUAGCCAAUCUCAGUUAUUAACCAAUCAGAAUGCUUUUACUAUGUUGUUAAUCAAUUGUAGAACACUUGGUCAGUCACUUUGCUGUAAGAAUAAUAUAGCUACAUAUAAAAACAGUAAAGGAAACA
Molecule: long non-coding RNA, 1505 nt
Organism: Dermochelys coriacea (leatherback sea turtle)
Lineage: Eukaryota; Metazoa; Chordata; Testudines; Dermochelyidae
Exons: 2
Source: RefSeq, a predicted model, not a curated record